Molecule: ribosomal RNA, 465 nt
Filed under: Vreelandella stevensii
Lineage: Bacteria; Pseudomonadati; Pseudomonadota; Gammaproteobacteria; Oceanospirillales; Halomonadaceae
Description: partial 16S ribosomal RNA
Rfam family: Bacterial small subunit ribosomal RNA
Source: RNAcentral
CCUACGGGUGGCUGCAGUGGGGAAUAUUGGACAAUGGGCGAAAGCCUGAUCCAGCCAUGCCGCGUGUGUGAAGAAGGCCUUCGGGUUGUAAAGCACUUUCAGUGGGGAAGAAAGCCUUGGGGCUAAUGCCCUCGAGGAAGGACAUCACCCACAGAAGAAGCACCGGCUAACUCCGUGCCAGCAGCCGCGGUAAUACGGAGGGUGCGAGCGUUAAUCGGAAUUACUGGGCGUAAAGCGCGCGUAGGCGGUCUGAUAAGCCGGUUGUGAAAGCCCCGGGCUCAACCUGGGAACGGCAUCCGGAACUGUCAGGCUAGAGUGCAGGAGAGGAAGGUAGAAUUCCCGGUGUAGCGGUGAAAUGCGUAGAGAUCGGGAGGAAUACCAGUGGCGAAGGCGGCCUUCUGGACUGACACUGACGCUGAGGUGCGAAAGCGUGGGUAGCAAACAGGAUUAGAUACCCUAGUAGUC